GACGAACGCUGGCGGCGUGCUUAACACAUGCAAGUCGAACGGAAAGGCCUCUUUCGGGGGGUACUCGAGUGGCGAACGGGUGAGUAACACGUGAGUAACCUGCCCUUGACUUUGGGAUAACUUCAGGAAACUGGGGCUAAUACCGGAUAGGAGCUCCUGCUGCAUGGUGGGGGUUGGAAAGUUUCGGCGGUUGGGGAUGGACUCGCGGCUUAUCAGCUUGGUGGUGGGGUAGUGGCUUACCAAGGCUUUGACGGGUAGCCGGCCUGAGAGGGGUACCGGGCACAUUGGGACUGAGAUACGGCCCAGACUCCUACGGGAGGCAGCAGGUGGGAAUAUUGCACAAUGGGGGGAAGCCUGAUGCAGCAACGCCGUGUGCGGGAUGACGGCCUUCGGGUUGUAAACCGCUUUCGCUCAUGACGAAGCUUUGUGUGACGGUAGUGGGUAAAGAAGCACCGGCUAACUACGUG
RNAcentral lists this ribosomal RNA (467 nucleotides) under uncultured bacterium. Its description in RNAcentral is "partial 16S ribosomal RNA". It matches the Rfam family "Bacterial small subunit ribosomal RNA", at positions 28 to 507 of the family's 1533-position model. The record is from RNAcentral.